Molecule: long non-coding RNA, 207 nt
Filed under: Mytilus galloprovincialis (Mediterranean mussel)
Lineage: Eukaryota; Metazoa; Mollusca; Bivalvia; Mytilida; Mytilidae
Source: RNAcentral
ACCAAUUAUGUCUGUUUGUUUUGUUCACACAUUGUUGUCAAUAUGAUGGAAUUGUAUUCGACUGUCAUACAAGUGAGAGGUUUAGCUAGCUAUAAAACCAGCUUAAUCCACCAUUUUCUACAUAUGAAAAUGUCUGUACCAAGUCAGGAAUAUGACAGUUGUUUUCCAUUCGUUUGAUGUGUUUGAGCUUUUCAUUUUGCCAUUUGA